RNAcentral lists this ribosomal RNA (319 nucleotides) under uncultured eukaryote. Its description in RNAcentral is "partial 18S ribosomal RNA". It matches the Rfam family "Eukaryotic small subunit ribosomal RNA", at positions 1470 to 1796 of the family's 1831-position model. The record is from RNAcentral.
CCCUUAGAUGUUCUGGGCAGCACGCGCGCUACAAUGGUCUUCGCAAACGGAUGCAUUCUCGAAGGAGGAUGCCAAUCUUGGAAUCUAUGCCUUGGUCGGGACAGUUGCUUGCAAUUUUUCGACUCGAACCAGGAAUUCCUUGUAAUCGUGAUUCAUCACAUCACGAUGAAUACGUCCCUGCCCUUUGUACACACCGCCCGUCGCUCCUACCGAUCGAAGAGUUAGGUGAAUUGUUUUGAUCGAUAAGAUUUGACUAUGGUCAACUCUCGUUGUGAAAUUCUGUGAAUCCGACUGUUUAGAGGAAGGAAAAGUCGUAACA